This 1319-nucleotide ribosomal RNA is filed under the name metagenome. RNAcentral's name for it is "bacterial SSU rRNA". It matches the Rfam family "Bacterial small subunit ribosomal RNA", at positions 198 to 1498 of the family's 1533-position model. The record is from RNAcentral.
CUAUUAAAGCAGGGGAUCGUAAGACCUUGCGGUUAGAGAGGAGCUCAUGCGAUAUCAGCUAGUUGGAGAGGUAAUGGCUCACCAAGGCUAAGACGUCUAGGCGGAUUGAGAGAUUGACCGCCAACACUGGGACUGAGACACUGCCCAGACUCCUACGGGAGGCUGCAGUCGAGAAUCUUUCGCAAUGGGCGCAAGCCUGACGAAGCGACGCCGUGUGUGCGAAGAAGGCUUUCGGGUCGUAAAGCACUUUCGCCUGGGAACAAGAGAAGAUGGCUAAUAUCCAUCUAAUUUGAGCGUACCAGGUAAAGAAGCACCGGCUAACUACGUGCCAGCAGCUGCGGUAAUACGUAGGGUGCAAGCGUUAAUCGGAUUUAUUGGGCGUAAAGGGCGUGUAGACGGGGGAUUAAGUCAGAUGUGAAAUCCCGGGGCUCAACCUCGGAACUGCAUUUGAAACUAAUCCUCUAGAGGAUGGACGGAAAAAACGGAAUUCCACAAGUAGCGGUGAAAUGCGUAGAUAUGUGGAAGAACACCGGUGGCGAAAGCGGUUUUCUAGUUUAUUCCUGACGUUGAGGCGCGAAAGCUAGGGGAGCAAACAGGAUUAGAUACCCUGGUAGUCCUAGCUGUAAACGAUGUAUACUUGGUGUAACCGGACUCAACCCCGGUUGUGCCGUAGCCAACGCGUUAAGUAUACCGCCUGGGAAGUACAGUCGCAAGGCUGAAACUCAAAAGAAUUGACGGGGACCCGCACAAGCAGUGGAGCAUGUGGUUUAAUUCGAUGCAACGCGAAGAACCUUACCCAGACUUGACAUGCAGAGGAAGAUAGCAGAAAUGUUAUCGCCCUUCGGGGCUUCUGCACAGGUGCUGCAUGGCUGUCGUCAGCUCGUGCCGUGAGGUGUUGGGUUAAGUCCCGCAACGAGCGCAACCCUUAUCACUAGUUGCCAACACGUAAUGGUGGGAACUCUAGUGAGACUGCCCGGGUUAACCGGGAGGAAGGUGAGGAUGACGUCAAGUCCGCAUGGCCCUUGUGUCUGGGGCUACACACGUGCUACAAUGGCCGGUACAGAAGGCAGCAAAGCUGAGAAGUGGAGCAAAUCCGUAAAACCGGCCUCAGUUCAGAUUGUAGUCUGCAACUCGACUACAUGAAGAUGGAAUUGCUAGUAAUGGCGUGUCAGCAACAACGCCGUGAAUACGUUCCCGGGUCUUGUACACACCGCCCGUCACAUCAUGGGAGUUGGUUUUACCCGAAGCCGCUGACCUAACCGCAAGGAUGGAAGCGUCUAAGGUGAGGCUGAUGACUAGGAUGAAGUCGGAACAAGGUA